Molecule: ribosomal RNA, 274 nt
Filed under: uncultured bacterium
Lineage: Bacteria
Description: partial 16S ribosomal RNA
Rfam family: Bacterial small subunit ribosomal RNA
Source: RNAcentral
AUACGGAGGGUCCAAGCGUUAUCCGGAUUCAUUGGGGUUAAAGGGUCCGCAGGCGGGAAAAUAAGUCAGUGGUGAAAGCCUACAGCUCAACUGUAGAACUGCCAUUGAUACUGUUUUUCUUGAGUAUAGAUGAAGUGGGCGGAAUAUAUCACGUAGAGGUGAAAUGCAUAGAUAUGAUAUAGAACACCGAUUGCGAAGGCAGCUCACUAAACUAUUACUGACGCUCAGGGACGAAAGCGUGGGGAGCGAACAGGAUUAGAAACCCCAGUAGUCC